Long non-coding RNA from Gadus chalcogrammus (walleye pollock), 1122 nucleotides. RefSeq lists it as uncharacterized. The record is from RefSeq and is a predicted model, not a curated record. NCBI's taxonomy places the organism in Eukaryota, Metazoa, Chordata, Actinopteri, Gadiformes, Gadidae. The transcript has 3 exons.
GCCAACUAGUGCCUCACCUGCAUAGAAUUGUAUUGACAACCCUUUGCCAACAAUCUUUAGUACAUUUGGUAGACCUACACAUCUUCUUCAGGCCUUCACCCCGGGCAGCCAGGAGGGACUACAGCAGUGGUAGGGCGCAUCGGACGGGCAGGUGCAAUGGCUGUUGUGAAGGACAGCAUACUAUUUUGGUCUAAUUAAGGAGUCAGACCCUCCAACAUGCCUCGGCACACUCACGGCUGAUACCUCCUGCUGGUCUUCAUGUGUGUCUGGGCGGGCACAGAAGGGCUCUCAAAACGCCAUCAUUCAGAUAUUGUUUUCCCAUCUACCUCGGUGGCCCUCUGGUCGGACGCCCUGAGAACGUCCCACAAAGAUUUACGUCCUCUUCAAUAACUAGACGUUUUGUUCCGGUUUUGGGUUUUGUGGGGGAUUAGCCAUGGGCGGCUAUGGGAAUUGAUUUUUCAUUUGUGGACAAAAGGUUAAAACCGACACUGGCUCAAUGAUAUUGUGACAUUUAUUUAUACAUUUUAUUGACGUUCUUUUUAUCUGUCUGCCAUGAUAUUAUAGCCCCGUUUUUUUUAAAUAUAGAUUAUUAUACAUUUUUACACUCAUAUAUCUCUUUGUAUAUACAGUAUAUAUAUAUUUCAGGUUUAGUUAUUAAGUCACAUGAAUUUGAUUGGUUUGAGUUUGAACAUUAAAAUAAAUGAAUUAUUGACAUAUUGUAUUGCAUUGGGUUGAUGAGAAGUCUUAUUUUGAUUAGUUCAAAUGUCUUUGAGUUUGUCAUUGACAUUGAUUGAAGAAAAAAACACUUUUGUCUUUUUGUCCCAUCCUGUGACCAAAAGUCACAGGAAGUCAUUCCAGUGUUUUGUUACAUUGACACACUUCUGUCCCCACGCUGACCGUCCAUGAAAGCCUCUCCUUGACCCUGCCUGUCUGAACCUGACCUCUGACCUCUCGUCAGCAAGGGAGGCCAAGAGGUCGACAACACUAGGUCAACAAGCUCUCUCUCCUUCAGUUGACUUGUGUUGAUCUGUGAACCAAACUUUUUAUUCGAAUUAGAAUCUUUAAUGUUUUCAGAAAACUCAUUGUUCUUACUCACCAAAAAUAACAAAGCAUUUGGAGAAG